RNAcentral lists this ribosomal RNA (497 nucleotides) under uncultured bacterium. RNAcentral describes it as "partial 16S ribosomal RNA". It matches the Rfam family "Bacterial small subunit ribosomal RNA", at positions 28 to 507 of the family's 1533-position model. The record is from RNAcentral.
GGUGAACGCUGGCGGCGUGCCUAAUACAUGCAAGUCGAGCGAACAGCCGAGGAGGUUGCUCGUCUGCCGUUAACGGCGGCGGGACGAAUAACCCGUGAAUAACCUACUUAUAAGACGGAGAGAACUUCAGGAAGCGAUAUCCUAUACCCGACUAUAUAUUCAACCGCAUGGUUCACUAGUGAAAGUGGGGUUUGGUUUCACUAGUAGAUUGAUCCGGGCCGCAGUUGCGAGUUGGUAAGGGAAAUGCUUACCAAGGCAACGAUCCGUAGCCGACCUGAGAGGGCGGUCGGCCAGACUGGACCUGAGACACGGUCCAGACUCCUACGGGAGGCAGCAGUAGGGAGUCUUCCGCAAUAGGCGACAGCCUGACGGAGCAACGCCGCGUGAGUGCUGAAGGUCUUCGGAUCGUAAAACUCUGUUAUUAGGGAAUAACAAAUGUGUAAGUAACUAGGAACGUCUUGACGGUACCUUAUCAGAAAGCCCCGGCUAACUACGUG